This is a long non-coding RNA of Mizuhopecten yessoensis (Yesso scallop), 302 nucleotides long. RefSeq lists it as uncharacterized. Lineage: Eukaryota; Metazoa; Mollusca; Bivalvia; Pectinida; Pectinidae. The record is from RefSeq and is a predicted model, not a curated record. The transcript is spliced from 3 exons.
CUGAUCCCACACAAACCGAUUUGCUAACUAAUUUGGGCUCCUGCGAAUCUCGACAUGAAGGGGACGAAUAUUGCUCUUUGUCUGCUGAUGCUGAUGGCGAUGACCACAGUAACGAGCUUUAAAUUGCUAUCACUGCCAUGUUUGGCUACAUGCAGAAAAUUUUGUCCUUUUGGCUUCAAGAACGACGGUAAUUGCCCAAGGUGUACCUGUGCAAAGAGUCCAAUCGAAGGAGUUGACUUGUGGUGAAGUUCAAUCCGGAGCAAUGUUAUGUAUGGCACACAAUAAAAAUAGUAAAUAAUUUG